UCUGGAGAUCCCUCCUCUGUGGAGUCUUUCCUGUGAACCUAGAUCUUCAGAUACAGGUGACAUGGCAGUCACAUGCCUGAUUGUUGGGAAGGUGUCUCCAGGCCACUGCUUCUGGAGACUUCCACUGCCCCUGCUACAGGACAGAGG
Meleagris gallopavo (turkey) is the source of this 147-nucleotide non-coding RNA. The record is from RefSeq and is a predicted model, not a curated record. NCBI's taxonomy places the organism in Eukaryota, Metazoa, Chordata, Aves, Galliformes, Phasianidae.